Molecule: unclassified non-coding RNA, 1222 nt
Filed under: Hevea brasiliensis (rubber tree)
Lineage: Eukaryota; Viridiplantae; Streptophyta; Magnoliopsida; Malpighiales; Euphorbiaceae
Source: RNAcentral
GAGCAUUUACUAGGCUGUGAAGGUAGCAAAACAAGUUAUCUGAUGAUCUUACAAGGUUGAAAAUAAAAUAACUCUGUUUACACAAAAGAUUUCCUUUGUGUUGAUGUUCUAUCAAAAAGACAUAAGAUACAUGAUUUUCCAUGUGUACAGAGCUAUAUUGCUCGGACUCUUCAAUAAGAUCGAUGAGUGUGUGUCGGAUCCAGCACGAGUACAGCAACAUUUUUGGAGAGUUCGAGUAACAUAGGUACAAGGACCUUAUAUGUUGGGUUUCAUUAAUCGUAAGGUAUUUGGAUAUAAGCUGCAUCACACACAAAUGGAAUGUCAGCAUACAUCCCAGCAAGUGCACAUCUUAUGGACUCUAAAACUGUGAACAGAUAGGCAAACGCGACAGCGGUCCAAAAAUGCAUGCCAACCUUGCCCCAAUAUACCGCGAGUGGCAUCCAACGGCUUACAGUCCCGAUAACCUGCAAGGCAAUCUCGAGUAGCAUCCCCAUUACCACAUGGAACCUAAAGAAAUGAGGCCAUUCCUUUCUCCUCACUACACCGAGAUAAGCAACAAAGAAGUACGCCAUUAGAAACCAGCCCGGUAAUCUCCCAAUAGCUCUGAGAAAAGGGUAUGUCAGAAACUCAAAAUCUUCCAAGAAGGGGUGGAGAUGAUAUGCUGUUUCAGCAUACAUCCAAGUCUCGUGAAGUGGCAUCAAGUAAGGGAGGCAUGCUAAGGUUCUCCACCACCACCUCGGCUUUUUGGUCAUCGGAGGGAAUCUGUAACUAUAGGGGACAUCCUUCGAUGCUCUAGGGGUCAUGGACAAUUGGCUUCGCCUUGGUAACUGGGGUAUUGCAUUAGAAAGACCGCCAUAUUCACCAGUUGAAAGAAGUGAUGAUGCAGAAGAAAGAUCAAGGAAGUUGAAUCCUUUGGAGCAGGAUGUUGGAUACUGAUGAGGUGCUGGUGAACGUCUAACACAUGCGACUAAAAACUUGGAAGGCGGCAGGGGGUUGCAUGACGAUGCAGAUCCAUAGGACUUGGAGCUACAUGACUUGUAAGGUUUACAAAUACCCCCAGACCUCAAGGAAUAUCCAUUUAGGAUCAUAUUCAAGCCCUUUGACAAGAUCUGAACAAUACGAGGAAUCCGACGCUGCCGGAGCACCGACCACCACCGGAAAAGGUCGCCGUAUCAACGGCGACUGAGAAGCGAAGCGAGCAGAAGUGGAAGGAAGGAAGAAA